UUCUGACAGGAAGGAGGCCUCAUAUGCCUCCAGUUCUUACCAGUCCAGCAGAUUUUGUUGUGGCUUGUAGGCGCCUCUAGAUGGCAGUGCUGUUCAGCUGGAUUACAGAUAACGCUUUUUCUUUUUCCGUGCUACUUCAGCUUUACAUUAAAUGGGAUAUUUUCCACAGCCGCUGAGAGCCUCUGAUCUUCCCAAAUGUCCUCCUAUAACCUUCAUAUGUAAGUGAACAAUGCACAUGGACCUGCUUAGCCACUACUAGGAGAGAAACCACCUGCAAGAGGUCCAGUGGAAAGGCUCACCAUGAUCUUACAUUGAGAAAACAGGGGGAUGUGACAGGAGGGCCAGCGGGGCAGUACACGUCUGCUUCCAUUUGUCAUAACGAAGAGCUGUCAUGCAAGGUGUGUGUGUUGAAACACUUUUACAUCAGCAUGUGUUUGUCACCCUGGGACGGAUCCGUGUC
This is a non-coding RNA of Pimephales promelas (fathead minnow), 460 nucleotides long. NCBI's taxonomy places the organism in Eukaryota, Metazoa, Chordata, Actinopteri, Cypriniformes, Leuciscidae. The record is from RefSeq and is a predicted model, not a curated record.